This is a long non-coding RNA of Eriocheir sinensis (Chinese mitten crab), 6168 nucleotides long. RefSeq lists it as uncharacterized. The transcript has 3 exons. The record is from RefSeq and is a predicted model, not a curated record. NCBI's taxonomy places the organism in Eukaryota, Metazoa, Arthropoda, Malacostraca, Decapoda, Varunidae.
UUCUGUUGUAUCUUUGCACUUGUUUGUUUACAAUGCGUUGUGUUAUAAGGUAUGUGAGUGUCCGAGUGUACAGAUGUAUGUAUUAACCCGUCCGCUGCGAUUGGCACAGAUUUCGCCUUCACUGGUAGCCUGGUAACAUACACUCCCAGGUCUUUCUCUGCCUCUGUGGUGGAUAGUGCAGUGUUUCCCAUGUGGUAUUGGUAUGCUGGGUAUCCCCUCCCAAGGUGCAUGACUUUACAUUUUCCUUCAGUGAAUUGUAGCAGCCACUUUUUGUUCCAUUCCUGUAACUUGGUGAUGUAUUCUUGUGGGAAAUCCACAGUCACGGGGUUGAUGAACAGAUGAAACUAAUACAUUUUCUUGAAACUGAACCACCAACUUAAUGGGCAAAUAAAACUUAAAUAUUCUCGAGACUAAACCACUAAAAUUUUACGGGCAGAGAAUACAAUAAUAAAUUCCCGGGGCCUGUCUGUAGCAUCACUGCACUUGUUAGUUUAUGAUGUGUUAUAAGGUGUGUGAGUGCCCAAGUACAGGUGUGUUAAGGUGUUCCAAUUGUGAGAUUGAAAUGGAAAUUUGAAACGACAGUAGAGCCCCAUUUAGUGCAAGAAUUAGGUGGAUGAAUGCGGUCGCGCUAACUGAAUUUGCGCUAAUUGAAUAAAGUAACCAAUAUGAAAAAAGUUAUUUGGUGCACACAUGUGUCUGACUUUUGGGUUUGAUAAUUACUCAAAAUACGCAGUCAUCAGUUAUGGAGCCGUGAUGGUGACUCUUGCGGCUCAAGGUGUCGGCGGCGGCAGCAAGUGGGUGUGACAAGAGUUCAGCCCCAGCAAAGGUUCGGCGGGCAGGGUGUGGGCGUGUGUGGGCGUCGUGCCCAGCCAGGCCGACAUCACACUCGUUAUUAUCGAGUGUGUUACGGUGACGGUGGCCACUCAGUCAAUAGUGACGCCUUGCCUCAUCCGCCCCGCGGGGCCAACACGGCGAAGCUCACGCCCGUGGUGACGCCCCGAGGAUGGCGGCGGAGGCGGUGCCGGGACAGUGACAGUGGCUGCUGCGGCGCCACACGGGCGGCGAGCUGUGCACCGCCCCCAGCAGGAGGCGGGCCAGGGGGGGCAGGACGACGUUAGAGAGCAUGAGAGACUGGGACCGUGUGGGAAGUGGUGGCGGGGGCUGUGUUGUGGUGUGGGGCAGGCCACCCAGGCCACCGCGCAUCAUGGUGGCUUGGCGCAAUUUUCUAAAUUCAGUCGUGGUGGCUGCUCGCGCUAACUGAGGCUUUCGCGCUAAUUAGUUUUUUUCUUGGUAGAUGGUGGCUCGCGCUAACUGAUCUCGCGCUAAGUGGGGCUCUACUGUACCUCCAAACUUCACAGGCUGAUAGAACUAAUAAAUCUUCUUGAAACCUGAACCACCAACUUAACCCGGUAGCAGCGACAGGCCAAAUUUGUGGCUUUACCGUAUAGCAGCGACGGGCCAAAUUUGUGCCAUGAUUUAAACCCCCAAAAAUUGAUGAUACAUAAACUGAUCACAAAUGUUUUGAUAUAUAUUAUGAAACUGUUUGUGUGAGUGAUGAUUUUUUCUCAUUUUUCUCGCUUAGAGGAGCCUUUUAGAAACAUGAUCCCCACUGCUACUGGGUUAAUGGGCAAAUAAGACUACUAAAUCCUUGAACCUGAACCACUAAACUUUUAUGGGCAGUGAAAACAAUAAAUUCCCUUGACACUGCACUAUGUAAUCAAACUUCACGAACGAAUCACCAGCUUGAGGUGUGACCCAUGUUUCUGGAACCCACGACAAACAAGUUCCCAGUGAGUUGAUGACGUGACAAGUUCUCGAUAACACUCAGACUGCACGAGGAACAGAUGAAUGAAAAUUUUGGAUGAAUAGGUAUUUGUGAGGUCAAACGAAGGCUUGCUGGCAGGCGUAAAACGAUGGGUGACUCUCUCUCUCUUGCCAUCAUCUCAACUAACAGGACACACACACACACACACAUACACACGAAACUGCUUAUCACUGAGUUGCGUUAGUUUCGACAUGCCUUCCUGCCUGCUUGUGUGUGUGUCUAGGAGUGAGAGAGAGGCACACAAGGGAGGGAGUCAACUUAAUGAAAUGGAAGGUAAUGCUCACUAGACUCUGGGUCCUCCGAGACUUGGGGAACUGAGGCACAAAUAACGUUAGCAAAAAUUGACAUGCAAGAUGAGAAAUAUACGAUGCUGUGUGUGUGUCUAGGAGAGAGAGAGGCACACAAGGGAGGGAGUCAACUUAACGAGAUGGAACGUAAUGCUCACUAGACUCUUGGUCCUCCGAAACUUGGGGAACUGAGGCACAAAAAACGUAGGCGGAAAUUGACGUGCAAGAUGAGAGGUGUGUAUGUGUGUGUGUGUGUGUGGGUGUGUUUUGAUUACUAUAUGUGGACAGAUGGUUCAAGAGGCAACUUGUGCACUGAAUCCGGAAAUAAUUCUCCCUAACACUAAAGGUUAUACUAAUUGAAAUAAAGUGCGUGAUAAAAAAAGUAAAUUAUGAACACCAAAACUUCAAUCCUACAUAAAUUAAGUGGACAGAAAAUGCAAUAAGUAACAAGUGAGAUGAGAUGAAAAAUUAAAACUAGACAAUCUUUUCAUAAUUUAGGACAGGUAAUAUAAAUUGUAAGAAGAAGAAAUUAGAUGAAAACCUAACACAAUAUUAUUUCUAGGUUAUUUGGGACAAAAUACAAUGAAUAAAAAGACGAGAUGAGAUGAAAAACUAAAACUAGACAAUCUUUUCAUAAUUUAGGACAGGUAAUAUAAACUGUACGAAGAAAUGAGACGAAAACUUAACACUAUAUUAUCACAAAAUGAGAUGAAAAAACAAAACUAUAUCAUCUUGUAGUUACUUGGGGCAGAACAUGUAAAUCGUAAAAACAAGAGAUGAUUUGAAGAACGAAAAUUAUAUUAUCUCUUGGUUAUUCGCGACGGAAAAUACAAUGAAUAAAAAGAAGAUGAAAAACUAAAACUAUAUCAUUUCGUAGUUACUUGGGGCAGAACAUAUAAAUCGUAAAAAGAAGAGAUGAUUUGAAGAAGAGAUGAUUUGGAGAACUAAAAUUAUAUUAUCUCUUGGUUAUUCGCGACGGAAAAUACAAUGAAUAAAAAGAAGAUGAAAAACUAAAACUAUAUCAUUUUGUAGUUAUUUGGGGCAGAACAUAUAAAUCGUAAAAAGAAGAGAUGAUUUGAAGAAAUGAUUUGGAGUACUAAAAUUAUAUUAUCUCGGUUAUUCGCGACAGAAAAUACAAUGAAUAAAAAGAAGAUGAAAAACUAAAACUAUAUCAUCUCGUAAUUACUUGGUGCAGAACAUAUAAAUCGUAAAAACAAGAGAUGAUUUGAAGAACGAAAAUUAUAUUAUCUCUUGGUUAUUCGCGACAGAAAAUACAAUGAAUAAAAAGAUAAAGAAAAACUAAAACUAUAUCAUCUCGUAGUUAUUUGGGACAAAAUAUAAAUCAUAAAAAGGAGCGAUGAUAUGAAGGACUAAAAUUAUAUUAUCUUUUGGUUAUUCGCGACAGAAAACACAAUGAAAAAGAAAAAAAAGAAAUGAGGUGAAAAAAUAAAACUACAUCAUCUCGUAGUUAUUUGGAACAGAAAAUAUAAAUCGUAAGAAGAGAUGAUAUGAAGAACUCAAACUAUAUCAUCUCUUGGUUAUUCGUGACGGAAAAUACAAAUGCUAAAAAGAAGAGAUGAAAACUAUAGUCAAAGCAUUCAGAUAGUCCAUCGAGGCAUUGGAUUCUGCGGGUCCUUUCCUCCUAACACCUGUCCCUUCCUCUCAUCUGUUACCUAUAGGAAACAUAUGAGAGGAAAAAAUAGGUGUUGUGGCUGUGUGGCAGAGCAGAGGGGAGGAAUAGACCCACAAAGUCAGUGCCUCAGCGGACUAUUUGAAAUGGUGUGACUUUAACACCAUAAUUAUCUUUUUGUUAUUUGGGACAGAAAACGAUGAAAUAAAAGGAAGCAAAACGAGAUAAAAAAAACUAAUCCUGCAUAUCAUUUGGUUAUCUGAACUGGAGAGGAAAAAAUAAUUAUAUAACAGAAAACGAUGAAAUAAAAGGAAGCAAAACGAGAUAAAAAAAACUAAACCUGCAUAUCAUUUGGUUAUUUGAACUGGAGAGGAAAAAAUAAUUAUGACAGAAAACAAAAUAAAACGAAGCGAAAUAAGACGAGAAACUAGACCUACAUGUAUUAUCUUUUGCUUACUUGAACUGGAGAGGAAAUAAAAGAUAGAAAAUGGAAAAAUGAAGAAAACGCAGCAAAAUGAGAUAAAAAAAACUAUGCUGUACCUACAUUAUCAUUUUCGUUAUUUGAAGUCAAGAGAAAAAAAAUCAUCACAGAAAACCUAAUUCCAAAUAAAACGCAGCAAAAUGAGAUAAAAAAAAUCUAAACCUAUAUUAUUUUUGUCGUUUGAACUUGAGAAAAAAAAAACAUGACAAAAAACGCAAUUCCAAAUAAAACGCAGCAAAACAAGAAAAAAAAACCUAAACCUACAUCAUCAUUUGGUUAUUUGAACUGGAGAAAAAAAUUAUUACGACAGAAAAAACAAAACAAAGAAUAAAACAAAGCGAAAUAAGACGAGAGACUAGACCUAUAUGUAUUAUCUUUUGCUAACUUGAACUGGAGGAAAAAAAGAUAGAAAACAGAAAAACAAAUAAAAUGCGGCAAAAUGAGAUAUAAAAAACCCUAAACCUAUAUUAUCUUUUUGUCAUGAACUGGGGAAAAAAAAAUCAUGAUAGAAAACAAAAAACAAAUAAAACGCGACAAAAUGAGAUAAAAAAACCUAAACCCAUAUUAUUUUUUCGUCAUUUGAACUCGAAAAAAAAAAAAAUCAUGAUAGAAAACAAAAAACAAAUAAAACGUGACAAAAUGAGAUAAAAAAACCUAAACCCACAUUAUUUUUUCGUCAUUUGAACUCGAAAAAAAAAAUCAUGAUAGAAAACGUAAUUCCAAAUAAAACACAGCAAGACAAGAUAAACAAAAAAAAUAAAAAAAUAAACCUACUUAUUUGGUUAUUUGAACUGAAAAAAAAAAUCAUGACGGAAAACCUAAUUCCAAACAAAACAAAAACGAGAUAAAAAAAUUCUUAGGCCUAAACCUACAGAAAACGUAAUUCCAAACAGUAAACCGCAGCAAAACGAGAUAAAAUAAACCCUAAACCUGUCAUCAUUUAGUUAUUUGAACUCGAGAAAAAAAAAAUGUAACACUUCUGAACACAUCAUAAACCUAACACACAAAAUAUACAUUAGAACACAAAAAUACAUUGACCAAAAGGACACAAAUAUAUACAUCCGCAAAUCUCUAUAUACACUGGGCCUUUAGAGAGGACAGGGAGAGUAUGUAUAAGGGAACAUGGCUACACUUAGUACUAACGCCCAACCUGAUAUCUGGCUUGGCUGGGUGACUUGAUCCUGACUCAAGCUGUGGCAAGUUGGGGUUUUACUCUUGAUCAAGCUGUGGCAAGUUGGGUUUUAUUCUUGAUCAAGCUGUGGCAAGUUGGGGUUUUACUCUUGAUCAAGCUGUGGCAAGUUGAGUUUGGCUUUAUUCUUGAUCAAGCUGAGGCAAGUUAGGGUUGGUAAAGUGAUCUGAGGCUGUCAUUUCGGAGGCAAAUUUUAAUUCCUUUGAAACUAAACCACGAAGCUUCCUGAUUCCUUUAAAACUGAACCCCGAAACUUCCAAAUUCAUCUGAAACCCUCCUCUUUAAAUAUUCACACUGCCAGAAACAAAACAAGAGGAAAAACAGCAAUUUGAUCCACUUUUUUAAACCCACUUAUAAAAUCUUACCACUUAAACCACUUACAGCCACUUGCUAAACCCCAACUUGACCUCUUAGCACUUAAACCUCAUCCUCUUCAGAUAUCCACACUGCCAGAAACAAGAGAGCUGCACUUCCAUCCACUUUUUAAACCACUUGCUAAACUCAAACUUGACCUCUUAGCACUUAACCCCAUCCUCUUCAGAUAUCCUCACUGCCAGAAACAAGAGAACAGCACUUCCAUCCACUUUUUAAACCCAGACUCUUCAAUAUUACCACUUAACCACUCUCACUGCCAUUAAGACAAAGCAUAAACACACCACUGCCUUCACUAACCUACCACUCCUUUACCAACCCAUUAUUUCCUUUACUUUUCUUUACUUUCAUCCACUUAUUAAACCCAGACUCUUCAAUCUUACC